Molecule: non-coding RNA, 822 nt
Organism: Megalopta genalis
Lineage: Eukaryota; Metazoa; Arthropoda; Insecta; Hymenoptera; Halictidae
Source: RefSeq, a predicted model, not a curated record
AGCAUUCUUUACGUGAUCAUCGCACUGCUAUCUUUGGUUGUAUGUUGGGUCGGUCUACUGUGGGGAUUGGUUUGCCUAUGCCAAAGAAUAUGUACGGGGAAGCGACGUUCGCUUCGUGCUAAGAAAAAACCCCCCCGAUACUCCCUGUUACAACCGGUACCGGAAGACGAUAGCAGCACCUUUUCAACGCAUAAAAUGGUGCUAUCUGAAUCAGACACGGACUCUGACGAUGUUUUAUUCGAACACCGUAAGACGAAAAACAGCCAAGCAAGAAACGAGCUGUAUAGAAUAUAAGAUCUCGUUAAGCGACGCACAGACGUGUAUGUUUGGCCAAAACGUAAAGUACUAGUCACUUACAAGGCUGUAAUGUUAAGUAUGUACCUAACAAGAUUCCAUACGAUUUCUUCAACCGAUGAAAUUGCCAUCUGUACAAAAGAGUUCAACUGAAACUGAUGUACUUAAGUACCGGUUACACGGAUACCGAGAACACAGGCUCAUUUCCUCCAUUGCAUUUUGUUCAAUGAUUUUAUUUUUGUCUCGGGAUAAUAUAUAGUUUGUCUGUAUUGUACAAUUGAAUUCGAGGCUUUUUAAUUGUAUUAUCUUGUAGAUGCACCGCUGUUUGUAAACACGAGCGGUAUCAUAGCACAAUGAUCGAACUUUGUUCGUUCACGGCCUUAGAAAGUAUUGGAAUUAGUAUUUAUAUAUAGCAAUCAUUCCUUAAUCAUAUAUCCUUUGUAUGUACUACUUGCUCUUUAAUGUGUAUAUCAUCAAUCUUAUUUUUACACGUGUAUGGAUAAGUAAUAAAAUUUGUUAUCCAUAUAA